GCCUAGUUAGCUUAGUUGAUAGUGCGUCUGCCUUGUAAGCGCUAGGCCGUGGGUUCAAUUCCCGCCCGGGGCG
Molecule: transfer RNA, 73 nt
Filed under: Diaphorina citri (Asian citrus psyllid)
Lineage: Eukaryota; Metazoa; Arthropoda; Insecta; Hemiptera; Psyllidae
Rfam family: tRNA
About the family: Transfer RNA (tRNA) molecules are approximately 80 nucleotides in length. Their secondary structure includes four short double-helical elements and three loops (D, anti-codon, and T loops).
Source: Rfam by way of RNAcentral